AGUCGAGGGGUAUAGUUCUUCGGAGCUAGAGACCGGCGCACGGGUGCGUAACGCGUAUGCAAUCUACCUUUUACAGAGGGAUAGCCCAGAGAAAUUUGGAUUAAUACCUCAUAGUAUUGGAACAUGGCAUCAUUAUUAUAUUAAAGUCACAACGGUAAAAGAUGAGCAUGCGUCCCAUUAGCUAGUUGGUAAGGUAACGGCUUACCAAGGCUACGAUGGGUAGGGGUCCUGAGAGGGAGAUCCCCCACACUGGUACUGAGACACGGACCAGACUCCUACGGGAGGCAGCAGUGAGGAAUAUUGGACAAUGGGCGCAAGCCUGAUCCAGCCAUGCCGCGUGCAGGAUGACGGUCCUAUGGAUUGUAAACUGCUUUUAUACGAGAAGAAACACUCCAACGUGUUGGAGCUUGACGGUAUCGUAAGAAUAAGGAUCGGCUAACUCCGUGCCAGCAGCCGCGGUAAUACGGAGGAUCCAAGCGUUAUCCGGAAUCAUUGGGUUUAAAGGGUCCGUAGGCGGUUUAAUAAGUCAGUGGUGAAAGCCCAUCGCUCAACGGUGGAACGGCCAUUGAUACUGUUAAACUUGAAUUAUUAGGAAGUAACUAGAAUAUGUAGUGUAGCGGUGAAAUGCUUAGAGAUUACAUGGAAUACCAAUUGCGAAGGCAGGUUACUACUAAUGGAUUGACGCUGAUGGACGAAAGCGUGUGUAGCGAACAGGAUUAGAUACCCUGGUAGUCCACGCCGUAAACGAUGGAUACUAGCUGUUGGAAGCAAUUUCAGUGGCUAAGCGAAAGUGAUAAGUAUCCCACCUGGGGAGUACGUUCGCAAGAAUGAA
RNAcentral lists this ribosomal RNA (832 nucleotides) under Flavobacterium sp. 001xTSA12A_G02. RNAcentral describes it as "bacterial SSU rRNA". It matches the Rfam family "Bacterial small subunit ribosomal RNA", at positions 60 to 898 of the family's 1533-position model. The record is from RNAcentral. Lineage: Bacteria; Pseudomonadati; Bacteroidota; Flavobacteriia; Flavobacteriales; Flavobacteriaceae.